GUUGGGGAACUGGGACCCGCGCAUGUCCAUCUCCCCAAGUUGGUUAGUGUCGGUAAUGCUUAAUGCGUCGACGAAGUAAAAUGUUCGGCUCGUCACUUGGCCGACAUUAGUGUUAAGAAAUAAUUAAUAUUACGCGUUGGGUGAUACGUAUGGGAUUGAAAGUUUGCCAUUUGUCCUUGGUUACCCAACAAAUCCUCCCUUUGCUCUUAUCUUCGUUUUUUUAUUCGUCCUUUCCCUCUCUCUUUUUGGUGGCGGUAACAACCACCAGCAGCACCGGCAGCAGCAGUAGCAGCACCAGCAGCACCAACAACAGCACCACCACCACCACCAUCUUCACUACUACUACUACUACUACUACUACUACUAUUACUACCACUACCACCACCACUGGUAUUACCACCACCAGUACUACCACCACCAUUAUCGUCACCCCCACUACCACCCCCACUACCAUCGGCUAAAGUCCUCGUCCCACCCCAGAAAGCUUCUUCCUCUCCCCCCAAAAAUAUGGUCGGAGGCGGUGGCGGUGUUGCUGCUGUUGCUGCUGCUGCUGCUGCUGCUGGUGGCGGCGUAGCGCGGGUGCGCGCGGAGCUGCCUUAACAGCGUUCGCUGCUGAACGACACAGUGGUGACUUUGGAGAGACACGAAGCUGCGGAAGGAAAGGGUCGCAAGCUCGAUCGUGCUCCACUGGAUGGCUCGACGUGUACUACUUGGUCGUUAGAAUAACAAAGAAAGAAAAAGAGAGAAAGAAAGAGAGAAAAAGAGAGCUAGACACAUUCCUAAAGAAAAAAAAAAAGCUCAUCACUAUCAAGCGAACUUGAAUAUAUAUAUAGAGAGAGAAAGAGAGAGAGAGAGAGAAAGAGAGAGAGAGAGAGAGAGAGAGAGUGCCGGUCGAUAGUGAGAUCCUUGUGCGAUUUCCUCCUCAUCCAAGAAGAUAGAAGAAGAGUUAAGGGCAAAGAAAGGAGUGUCUCGUCCUGGAUUAAAAGCUUUUAGUGUUCCUCGUGAUAGUGUUCGAAUUUUUUUUUUAUCAUCCGCGAGAGAAAGAACGAGAGAGAAAGAGAGAGAGAGAGAGAGAGAGAGAGAAAGAAAGAAAGUAAAAGAAUAUAGCAACGUUGUUGAAAACAACGUUGUCCAAGAAGCGAAGAGUUAGUGUCUCUCUCUAUCCGUUUCUCGUUCCAUCGGUUGUUUUUCCAACCUCUGUCGCAACGACGGCGGUCGAUCCAGAGCUCGAGGAAGCAAGUGGAAGGGAGGAGGCCGAGGCGCAGGAGGAGCAGCAGCAGCAAGAAGAGGAGGAAGAGGAGGAGGAGGAGGAAGAGGAGGAGGUGGAGAAGGCGGAGGAGGCGGAGGAGGUGGUGGAGGAGGAAGAAGAGGUGAUUUCUACGUUCGAACGAGGAAGAUCGUGCUUCGUGCAUCUCCGCUGCGGAUCUCACGAUGACGGAUGGCUGUACGACGUGUGUUCUUCCCUCCUUUGAAACACGACUGACCAGCGACGGGGACGAACGGAAUCACUUCUCUGUACCUUGAUACGAUCUCGUGGGCGUGCGGGGGUGACUGGAGUGAUGGGAUGGGGCCAGAGCCCCAUGGAGUUCGGGUAGACCCGUCUCCGGCCCAGCUCCCCAGCCCCCUCCGCCAUAAAUAUCGCCACUGCUCCUGCCAACGACGCAGAGGGCCACCACGAUCGCGAUGGAGGCCUCUAGCAAUCAACAACAACAACAAAAAGAGAAGGAGUCACGUGUUCAUAGGCCUUAUGCCUUCGAUAAGAUGGAGGGGCUGGUGCGGGAGAUGCAAGACCCUCAAAACGGGGUACCCGUGCGCAGCCAAAAACAAUUUCUCACCUCGAUCCCCUCAGCGUUCAUGGGUGAGUGCCAUCGGUACCUGCGUUGUGGCAUAAACGUAAGCGGCCAUCACGGCCAGGAGAGUACAGUAGACUGCCUGCGUGUUGCAGGUUACGACCUCGUCGAGUGGCUUAUGGAUCGGCUUUCCAUCGAGGAAUCAGUAGAGGCGCUCCAUAUUGCUAAUCAACUAUGCCUGUACGGCUACUUCUUCCCGGUGAACGACUCGAAGACGCUUACCGUAAAGGAUGAUAGCUCGCUAUAUAGAUUUCAGUCACCGUAUUAUUGGCCAUGGCAACAUAGAACCCCUGACAACGUGGAAUACGCUAUUUAUUUGGCUAAACGAACAUUACGGAACAAACAACGCCACGCUCUUGAAGAUUACGAGAUCGAAGCUUUAAACAGUCUACGGAAGAACCUGCAAAAUAAAUGGGAUAUCAUACAACUACAGGCUGAAGAACAGGCUCAGGUACGAUUAGCUAAAGACCGGAAGAAGGGGGAUAAGAUAGUAAGCGAUUCACAGGAAAGAGCAUUUUGGAGAGUUUACCGGCCACCACCGGGUUGUCUUAGUAGUCUUGAAGUAGUUCCAGGACCAACACGUUUUCGUCCAGGAUUUCCACGUCCUCCACCACGUAAACGCACCGUCGCUGAGUUACAACGAGAGGUGGACUUUCUUCGAAACUGUUUAACACGCACGAGAAUAAAGGUUUCAGCUGCUAUAGAAAAUUUGAAGUCCUACUUUGAAACUUAUGUGGAAUACGAUCCAAUGUUCGUACAUCCGCAACCUUCGAAUCCUUGGAUCACCGAUGACAGUACAUUCUGGCAGUUGAAUAGUCCAGUAGUGGAAAUCCCUACGGAAAAGCGUGUAAAACGAUGGGCAUUAUCGAUGGAAGAACUCAUGUCUGAUCCAACAGGCCUGCUAGAAUUCACGAAUUACCUAAGAAAAGAAUACAGUCAUGAGAAUAUUCGAUUUUGGGUGGCCGUUAAAGAUUUGAGACACAGUUAUCAAGCUCAAAUAACAGAAAAGGUCAACGAAAUUUUCAAAGAAUUCCUGGCGCCGGGUGCUCCUUGCGAGAUCAACAUCGAUGGAAAGACAAUGGAAAAGGUCCAUCAAGAAAUGAAAAAUCCCAGCAGAUUUACCUUCGAUUCAGCCGCCGAGCACGUAUAUACUCUACUUUUGAAGAAGGAUUGCUACCCCAGAUUUAUUCGCUCGGAUCAAUAUCGAAAUCUUUUAGCAGCCGGCGUACAGCCACUGCAAAAGAAAAGAUUCUUCAGCUUCGGUGGUCAAGCAAAAAAGAAAAUGGCGCCUAGCACGAGUACAACGACGAGCACGUUGCAACAACAACAACACAGUGGCAAUAUUGGAACCAGUGGUGGUGGUGGUGGUGGUGGUGGUGGUGGUGGUGCUAGAAGAAGAGGAAGCGAUCGAAGCCUCUCAGGAUCAGCUCACGAGCUUGCUGUUUGUGGAGUACGUGAAAUAAGUUCUACGCCGAGAGUGCCGCAUUCUCAUAGCCAAUCAAAUCUCACCGAUAUUCCAUACAGGGGUGAUCUGGCGCGACUCUUAAAGAUCCCUACGAGGCCUAGUCCACAUAGUAUUCAGGAUGCUGGCGCCACGGAGGCGACAGUUCGCCCUAUGGACGACGUUUGCCCUUGGGACGCGAUCCCAGGGCCAAGUACAGAAACCGGCCAGGAUGCAGCACCCUUUGGAACGAGCCCGUGGCCUGACACGACUACGGAUCCCUGGGAAUACGGGAACGACGUAACCAAAACGUCGAUACAUUUCAUCGACGUGGCUCGUCCAUCUCGAAAGAAUUCCUCUCAGCUCGACUCCUGCAGUUCCUCUUCCGAUGUCAGUCUGGCUAUUGCGGAGGUCUCCGACAGGUUGAGAAAAUCCUGCAGCCUUCAGCACAGUUCUGUCACGACUGCCAUGAUGGAACGACAUGGUAUUGGUUCUGGAUCGGGUGGACAUACCAUCACCAGAAAUUAUUCUACUGGCUCGACUAGCAACAGAACCAAACUGUCGGAUAUAGGUCGCCCAUUGAUCAGCUCGUACAACUUACCAUCGCCUCUAGAAUCCUUCGAAUACAGUCACGCAGCUGGCGAGAAAUUCGAGGCGAUAAUCAGCCAAGCAACGAUCGAAGAGCCAGAAACAUCAACGAUGUUAGAAACAACGCAACAAUUGGACAAAGUUGUAACGAUAGAAGAAACGAAAAAAACUACGAGAAGGUCAUCAGCGAAAGCACCAUUGAUAAGUAUCAGUGCGAUCGUCGGCGACUUGCCAAGUGAUUCCGAGUGCGUUGGAACGAUAACUGGCGACAACGUUUCUACGCCAACAAGAGAAACUAAAAUGGAAAUUGAAUUGUUGGAAGAUAAAAACGUACAAGAAAGAGAACUGGAAAGGGAACGAGAAAAAGGAAAGGAAGAAAAACAAGAGAAAAGGGAAGAAGAAGAAAAAGAAGAAGAAAAAAAGGAAGAAGAAGAAGAAGAAGAAGAAGAAGAAGAAGAAAAAGGACAAGGAGAAGAACCAUUGGAAAAGGACGAUGACAAAAUAACGAAGGAAGUUGCUGUCGAAACACAAAAAAAUGAGUCUAUUGAAGAGGCUCAGGUUGUUCCUGUUUGGGAGCCGGACACCAAACAGGAAGACCAAAUGGCACCAACGACCACUACUGCAACCACCAGUACUGUGCCCACUCGGGAUAAGCGUGACAAUAAUGUUAACGAAGUGUGCCCGUGGGAGGACGAGUAUAAUUUCUCGUAGAGGCGUAGAAUCGAAGACUCCGAAAUGGAAGACGAGACGCGUUAUAGUCGAAGGGAGAACUGUAAAGUGGAUACGACCUAUGUAAAAACGUAUGCGACAUUAGGUUAUUUGUAACUUGGCGUUAACGCGCUAUAAUCCUUGCAUUUUACACUUAAAACACCCAUUCGUAAAUUUCGAUUAUCAUUAUUCUCAAACUACCGCUGAUCUCGAGUGCAUGAGCUUUCGUAGGUUUUACGAUUAAACUGUUGUGUCAUUUUUGAGAACGUCUUGGUAUUGUUGGUUGAAAGUGAACAAAGAAAAAGUUUAAGAUCGAUUAAUAACAAUUCGAUGAGCGAUCUUCUUAAUAUGUAUACAAGAAUAUGAAAUGAAGUUUUCGAAACUUACAACUCGAUCUACGGAUAUAUAAAUACGACUGAUACAAACGAUCGUUAAUAAAUAUUUCGUUUCCUUUAUGAAUUUAAUGAUGUAAAAUACAAAGUGAUCUAUGGCCUAAAAUUUUUCUUUAUCUAUCCACCGACAUUUAUCGACUGAGAGCCAUUGCGGCCAUUUAUUAUCGCCAUUUCUUUUUUUUUAUUUUCCUUCUUAAUAUAAGUCGAGAUGUAUUAAUUAAUUUUCAUGUUUUUUUUUUUUUUCUACUUAAUGUCGGUUAAUAUUAACGAAAACGCGUUGUUAUAAAUAGAGCGUAUUAGAAUACGUAUCUAGACUAUGAUAAAUGUGUUGUAGUAGUGGUGCGUAGUACAACCAUGUGUCUUUAUGUCGAAUAAAAAAACAAAAACAAAAAAAAAAAAGAAAGAAAAUAAAAAGAAAAAUAUUAAGAUACUUACCACGAUAUCGUUCGUUGAGCUUAAAAUAAGGUGAUAGAUGAUAUUUAAAAGAAAAAGAAAAAAAAAGAGAAGAAUAUUCGAUUUCGAUAUCGAAACUGAUUCGAUAUUCAAUAUACUUAUAAAUUUAAUUUUGAUUUUUGUCGAUCAUAAACGUGGCCUUUGGAUGCCAGUCAAUAAUGAGCCCCUUGACCGCAUGCAAAGACCAUGAAUUUUGUUAUCAAAUUUACUAAUAAUUUAUAUUAAUAAAAUGUAUAAUUUCCAAACUUUCCAACUAACUUGGUCAAAAAUAAAUCUUAAUAUUUCAUACAUUAAUUAUCAUUUCGUUCGAUCGAUCGAUACAUACGAUCAUUCCUAUCUGAUUUUUCAUUUUUUGUCGUCGAAACAAAAAAGAAAAAAAAAGCAAAUCAAUCGACGCGACUCGAAUUUGAUCUAUCGCCUUAAAGAAAGAAAGAAUAAAACAAAAAAGGCUAACGACGUCAACGUAAACGUAUUUAAUAAUUCGUGUUAGAAAUAUUAACAAAUGUUACGCUGUUAAAAUCCUUCGAUAUAAUUAUAUAACUAAUAAUAAUCGUUUGUCCGCUGCUUAAGCGUCUAAUUAAACAUUAACGAUGCGUUAGUCCACUACUUGUUAGUUAUAAAUAUACGAUAAAAAAAAAAAAAAAAAAAAGAAAAAAAAAGAAAAGAAAAGAAAAGAAAAAAUGCCCCCAUUCAUUCACUCAAGAAUGAACAAAAAAAAAACAAACAAACAAAAAGAAAGAAAAAGAGGAAGAAAACUAACGCGUUACGAUUCCAAUUAAAACUUGGUUAAACUUAAUCGUCGAAAGUACGAUUGCACUUGUAAUCAUUUAGAGCCUAAACGAGUUAUCACGUUGAUACGUGCAAUAACUUUUAAUGAUUUAUAGUAUAAUAAUUCUCGAUGAAAUUGCGGUUGAUCGUAUGAUUGCUGGAACUGAAACUGCCCCAGAGCCAGGAGUCUGCGAUAUUAGAUUAAAAUGAUUUAAACUUAAUAACACGAACAUGCACGCACGCACACACAUACACAGGUAUAUGUAUUUAUAUGUAUAUAUAUAUAUAUACACGUGUAUGUAUAUAUAUAUAUAUCGUAUAUACGAAGGCGUGCAUGUGUGUGUGUGUAUAUAUACAUAUAUAUACCUUAUAUAUCUUUCUCUCUAUUUUUCUCGUAACUAUGAAUCGAAGUGAAAGCCUAGUAAAUGUAACGUCAAUGUUUCGUUUUCUCACGUGUAUAUUUCUUAAAAACGAAAUAAUUAUAUAUAACGAUGAUAUACAUGCAUAUAUAUAUAUACAUAUACGUAUAUGUAUAUGUAUAUAUAAAUAUAUAACGUUGUGUCUGUGUCAAGAUAAAAAUUAACGAAAAAUUCAUUAGAACGAAAUGUACUGUAAGAACGAUGUAAGAUCGAUGAUUCAUUUAUUUAUUUUCUUUUGUUGUUUCUUUUUUGAAUUUCUUUUUAUAAUACUUUCUUACGAUAUAAUACUUUUGUUUUAUUUUAUUUUUUUUUCAUUCGUAAAUCGAUCGUUCUGAUUCGGUCGUUGAUUAUCUGAAGUUUCAUGUCGGCCAAUAUAAAUGAUGAAAAAUGAUACAUGAUGAUUCGAUGACAGAUAAACGAUUUCGAUUGUUCGCAGAAAUCAACUUGAUAUUUUUGUCGGAGACUUUCGAUAGUUCAUGCACUCGAGAUCCAUUAUACAUACACACACACACACGCAUAUAUAUAUAUAUAUAUAUAUAUAUAUAUAUAUAUAUAUAUAUAUAUGAGAUUUGAAACAAAUAAUUCUGAGGAACGUAUUGUUAAUUCGCAAAAUCAAGAUGAAGUCUUAUAAUAAUUCUUACUAUAGAUAACAAUCGAUAAAAUGACAACAAACCUGAUACACGAGAAAAAAAAAAGAAAUGAAAUGAAAAGAAAUUAGAGAAAAAAAGAAAAGAAAUAAAUAUAAUAAUAAUAAUAAUAAUAAUAAUAGUAAUAAUAAUAAUAGUAAUAAUACUAAUAAUAAUAAUAAUGAUAAUGAUAACAAUUAUUAACAACAAGUUAACUCUCUUUAAGAAGUGAAUAUAAAUAAUAUUAUUACUUAUCGCACGUUGAAGAACAAUGAAUAAGAAGUUUUCGAUGAUUAUAGAAUAUGGUGUGUUAAUAAACUAUUAUCGAUAAUCGUACUCGUGAAAAUGAAAUAUUCUGUAACGAUGAAAAAAGAAUACGAUUAGAAAUGAAACAAUAUGGUGUUAUAUCGUAAACACGUAUGAAUAUAGCGCCGAUAAAUUAAAAUAAUAAAGAGGAAGGAAGAAAGGAAGAAAUAAAAAAAAAAAAGUAUAUAUAUAUAUAUAGAAAUAAAAGAAAAAAUAAAAAAAAAAAUAAAUAAAAAAGGUUCGUUUCAAUAGCGAUGAAAGUUCUUCGUUUUUUUUUUUUUUUUUUCUGUAAAUAUUACAACGGCACUGUUGCAUUCUUUCACCUAGGAUCGAUCUAUAAUAAAGAUUUUGACGAAUAUAUUCGUCGUAAGCAAAAGAUCUCGUUUUAAAAAGAAAAAGAAAAAAAAAAAGAAAAAAAAAAAAGAGAAAAGGAAAACGAAAAGAAGAGGAGAAACAAUAACCAUUUAGAAUCAGGGUACGCUCAAGUUCGAUUAAGUUUCGUGUCUUUGCUAAAUCGUAUUUAAUUAAUUUAUUGUAAGGAACAUGUCCGCGAGUUAAUACGAUUUUAUUUUCAUUUUAUAUUAAAAUAAAUAAUGAACGAGUAAUGAUCGAUGGAAAAAUGACGAUAGUACAAUGGAACGUCACUUUUGUUAAUACGAAUUAAAUCUGUACUUUCAAAAGUAACUAAUCAAAAAGAAAAACAUUUUUAAUUAAACGAAAGAAUUUUUUAUUUAAUGAUAAAGUGAAUAAGUCAAACGAUGAAUCGCAAAAAUGUCCAAUCACGAACACUAUUAUAAAUCUUACUAAAGUGUUAUUAUUAUUAUUAUUUUUUUGUUAUUGUUAUUAUUAUUAUUAUUAUUUUAUUUGUUAUUAUUAUUAAUUAUAUAAUGAUGAUAAUUAUGAUGAUAAUGAUCAUUAUUAUUAUUAUUUUUUUAUUAUUAUUAUCACUAUUAUUUUAUUAUUAUUAUUACUAUUAUUAUUAUCAUUAUUAUUAUUAUUAUUAUUAUUAUUAAUUACGAAACUUUGAAAAGAUAGGUAAGAAAAAAGAAAAAGAUAAUAAUAAUUAUGAACGAUGAACUACCGAUCGUUGAACUAUCAUCCUAUUUAAAUAGUAACUAUAAUUAUUUUUGAUUCUAUCCGAAGCAAGACUUAAAAGUAAAAGACUUCGUUCCUCGUUGAGUUGAUUAAUCAAAAAAAAAAAAAAAAAGAAAAGAAAAAAACAAUUAAUACUGUAAUAUAUCUAAUCGUAUUUCUUCUUUUUUAUAAUCUUUACGAUUUAUUACAAAUUUAGGUUAGAUCGAAUUAUAUAACGUAGAAUUUAUCCGCUAUUCGAACAUAAAAAAAUCCACAUUGAAACCACAAGUAAUCGUAGAUUUUUUUUUUUUUUUUGAAAAAUAAAAGAAACAUUAACAAUAGUACAAAAUGAAACGCAAAGAUCAACGACAGUAUUGAGAAGACAAACAAAAGAAAAGAAAGAAAAGAAAAGGGCAUAAAGUUUCGUAAAUUAUGCGAAAUGGUCGAGUGAUUUUUAAAUUUAUCGAUCGAUUAUAUCGACGUCGUCGGCAAAUCGUUUACGAUGAUUUUAUUUCAAAAUGCUACUAACAUUUUUGAAAGAAUAUAUAUAAUACAUAUUAUGUGUAUAUAUAUACAGUAGCUAAUUAAUAGAGUAUUAAUAGAAGAAAAAUACAUUCCUACUGUACGAAUAUUCAAAUUCCAACAUUGUAUAUUAAUUAGUAUAUUAUAUUGUAUUGUGUGUUUGAAAGUAUGAUAUAUAUACAUAUAUAUAUAAAUUAUAUAGUAUACUAUAAUAUAGUAUAUAUUAUGUAGUUAUAUAUAUAGUAUACAUUAUACUUAAAAAAUGUUAGUAUAUAUAUAUAUAUGUGUGUGUGUAUAUAUAUACAUGUUUAUAGCAUAUACAGCAUAUAUAUAUGUAUAUAUAUAUAUAUAUAUAUAUUAAUAAAUAAAAUUAAUAUUAUUUUAUAAUAACACGUAAAAAUAUUCUCAAACAAACAAGCAUAUGCCUACGAAAAAACUAAUACAUAUGCAUGUGUAUGUAAAUAUGUUGUGCUUACCUACGUUGUUUUCGUUGGCACGACUACCGAGUUGUGUUGAUUUGCAUGUAAUUGGAUUGUUUUGUCUGCAACAUGGGGCUGAAGUCGUAAAUAAUCAAAACAGACGUUGUCUCUGAAUGAAUAUGAAAAACAAAAAAGAAAAAAAGAAUAUAAAAAUAACACUCAAAAAACAAGAAAUAAUAUGAUUACCAUAUAUUAAUUUUAACCACACAAUAUGCAUAUUAUAUCGAUAAAAUUAAUAGAGAUAUUAGAAACAACGUAAACGUUUCGCGGAUCGCUCAAAAAGAAAAGAAAAAGAAAAGAAAAGAAGAGAAGAGAAAACGAUAAUUAAGUCACUCGACCAUUCCAAUUCAAAGUACCAACUUAAAAAAAAAAAAAUGAAUAAUUCAUCAUGGAUUUGUGAAUAUACGCCAUCUAGUUUUUCAUUGGUUCGUUAAAAUAUUCGUUGGGAAUUCUCAUCGAUCGGAUUUAAAUCUAUUUUAUUAGUAGUUCCCUACUAUACCGAUAAAAAAUAUUUCUUUGCGACGUCCAACGAUUCGAUCAUGACGGAAUAUUUGGAGGAACCUUUGAAGAAAAAAGAAAAAGAGAAAAAUCGAAGGGGGAAAAAAAGAAAGGACGAACUAAUGCAAGUGUAAACUGUACGCUUGAGGGAGGGGUACUGUCGUAUAAAAAAAAAAAAAAAGAAAAAUAAAAGAAAGAAAGAAAUAGAAAAAAAGCACAAUCGGUAUCUACGAUUCGAUAUAAGAGCAGAAUCGAGAACCACGUUGACCUAUUAUUAUCGGAAGACUGAAAACGUACCUGAGACAAUUCAAAUGAAAGCCGUGAGUUAAACGCAAAAUGGCCUGGUAUUAUUAGUCUACGUAUGAGUAAAGCUUUAAUGAGAAAAUGAAACAAAAAAGAAAAAAGCAAAAAAAUUCAAACGAAGCUUGUCCUUCAUCUAAUACGUUAAAUCGAGAAUUUAUUAUAGCCUCCUUUUUUUCUGUUUUUUUUUUUUUCGUGCUUCUCGUUUCUCUUGCAAAAGUUCACCGAACAAAUUAACAAAAUUGAAAGAGAAAAGAAUAAAAAGAGAUAAGAUCGAAAGGAAGAGAGAGAGAGAGA
Molecule: RNA transcript, 10721 nt
Organism: Vespula vulgaris
Lineage: Eukaryota; Metazoa; Arthropoda; Insecta; Hymenoptera; Vespidae
Exons: 17
Source: RefSeq, a predicted model, not a curated record